This 484-nucleotide ribosomal RNA is filed under the name uncultured bacterium. Its description in RNAcentral is "partial 16S ribosomal RNA". It matches the Rfam family "Bacterial small subunit ribosomal RNA", at positions 30 to 507 of the family's 1533-position model. The record is from RNAcentral.
AUUGAACGCUGGCGGCAUGCCUAACACAUGCAAGUCGAGCGGAUGAACGGUGCUUUCUCCUGGUUUCAGCGGCGGACGGGUGAGUAAUGCCUAGGAAUCUGCUUCCUUGUGCGGUAUAACGUCCUGAAACGGGUGCUAAUACCGCAUACGUGCUGAUGGAGCAAGUGGGGGAUCUUCGGACCUCACGCUAUCAGAUGAGUCUAGGUCGGAUUGGCUAGUUGGUGGGGUAAAGAGCUACCAAGGCGGCGAUCGGUAACUGGUCUGAGAGGAUGAUCAGUCACACUAGAACUGAGACACGGUCCAGACUCCUACGGGAGGCAGCAGUGGGGAAUAUUGGGCAAUAGGCGAGAGCAUGGUCCAGCCGUGGCGCGUGUGUGAAGAAGGUCUUCGGAUUGUAAAGCACUUUAAGUUGGGAGGAAGGGCAGUAAGUUAAUACCUUGCUGUUGUGACAUUAACAGGAGAAUAAGCACCGGCUAACUACGUG